ACGGGAGGCAGCAGUGGGGAAUAUUGCACAAUGGGCGCAAGCCUGAUGCAGCCAUGCCGCGUGUAUGAAGAAGGCCUUCGGGUUGUAAAGUACUUUCAGCAGUGAGGAAGGUGGAUAUGUUAAUAGCAUAUUCAUUUGACGUUAGCUGCAGAAGAAGCACCGGCUAACUCCGUGCCAGCAGCCGCGGUAAUACGGAGGGUGCGAGCGUUAAUCGGAAUUACUGGGCGUAAAGCGCAUGCAGGUGGUUUGUUAAGUCAGAUGUGAAAGCCCGGGGCUCAACCUCGGAAUUGCAUUUGAAACUGGCAAACUAGAGUACUGUAGAGGGGGUAGAAUUUCAGGUGUAGCGGUGAAAUGCGUAGAGAUCUGAAGGAAUACCGGUGGCGAAGGCGGCCCCCUGGACAGAUACUGACACUCAGAUGCGAAAGCGUGGGGAGCAAACAGGAUUAGAUACCCUGGUAG
RNAcentral lists this ribosomal RNA (459 nucleotides) under uncultured bacterium. RNAcentral's name for it is "bacterial SSU rRNA". It matches the Rfam family "Bacterial small subunit ribosomal RNA", at positions 341 to 793 of the family's 1533-position model. The record is from RNAcentral.